AGAUAUGGCAACAUUGAAAAAGGGGGACUGGGUUGAGCAGACGAAAUCGGCGAACGUUGUCUGCUCAGUCAGACGGCGUGGUGAUUUCGUGAUGGUUUCACCACGUAUUUCAUCUCCGAAUACCACGUGUCACGAUUUCACCUGUCUGUCACAGUUUAGAGGAAUAUUUUAUACCUGCCCGAACUAGGGCAGAUGUAGCACCGAAUAAAUCCUCUUCCUUUGGGAAUCUUUCGUUCAAUCGAACGCGUUCCAGUUGACUUACUGCGUCUAAAUUUAACGGAAACGUCAAAUGGGUGUUGAUAAACUUUACAGAACUUUUACCUUGCCAGUUGUCAACUUUUAUUUCCUUCUCGACUGUUUCCCAAUCGAAACAAAGUCGCUUCAUCAAUCGAUAAGCGUGAAUUGGAUUUCCAGUCAAGUGUUCCAUAAACUCUUCUUCGUUGGCCAUCUUCUCCUUGACGACGCUUUGCUCGUAAUCCUUAAGUUCUCCAAGGACAUCGACUAUUUGUUGUUCAAGACGGAAGACACUUGUCAAAUCGGCUGACGCGGUGUACAUGUCCCCAUAAACACGUGGAUUUCUUGCUAUCGAAAUUAUUAGAACGGUGAAGUAAAACUG
This is a long non-coding RNA of Daphnia pulicaria, 616 nucleotides long. RefSeq lists it as uncharacterized. NCBI's taxonomy places the organism in Eukaryota, Metazoa, Arthropoda, Branchiopoda, Diplostraca, Daphniidae. The record is from RefSeq and is a predicted model, not a curated record. The transcript is spliced from 3 exons.